UACGAAGGGGGCUAGCGUUGCUCGGAAUCACUGGGCGUAAAGCGCACGUAGGCGGAUCUUUAAGUCAGGGGUGAAAUCCCGGAGCUCAACUCCGGAACUGCCUUUGAUACUGGAGGUCUCGAGUCCGGGAGAGGUGAGUGGAACUGCGAGUGUAGAGGUGAAAUUCGUAGAUAUGACAUAGAACACCCAUUGCGAAGGCAGCUAACUACACGAUCAUUGACACUGAGGCACGAAAGCGUGGGGAGCAAACAGG
RNAcentral lists this ribosomal RNA (253 nucleotides) under uncultured bacterium. Its description in RNAcentral is "partial 16S ribosomal RNA". It matches the Rfam family "Bacterial small subunit ribosomal RNA", at positions 524 to 776 of the family's 1533-position model. The record is from RNAcentral.